AACUCCAAUGGUACCUCAGGAGAGACCAUUUAUGGCCCCAAAUUUGAGAGGCAGGAUAAUUUGAGUGUAUUAUUUUGACUCUGCUGCCUUGUCAGGAGGAGCGGAGCCUCAAGCUUCCUGCAGGAAGAUCAAUACAUGUAUGUGAGUGAAAACGGGGCCCAGAGCCACGAGUUGGGAGGAGAGAUGGCAGCCAGGGUGGCACGCUGACUGGAGGAGCGCCAGCUGCUCUCAACCAGCAGGUCUGCAUAUCGUGAGCCAAAAUGCAGAGAGACAACAACAACAGGAAGGGGGAACAAAAGCAAGAGAGCAAACACUGUGUUCACACUGUGUUUAAAGCUGUGAAAACACUUUCUGGAGGCCAAAUGGAUCAUCAGAUCAUCAGAUUAUGGCAGCAAAUCCCCACAUGUAGAGAGGACAGAAGACUCUAAUGGCUGAAGUACAUCGACAUGUUGCGUGUGUCUCCAUGAUACUGCUGGUUCCUGAUCUGGUUCUAAUCAGGAGUGUUCCAGCUUUGCCCAGCUGACCUACAGAUUUAAUAUGGAUCAGUGAGAGCUCACUGAAAGCGGAGCGUGGAGGAACACGACCACACUGCGGAGGAGGAAUGGUCGACACUUACCCCUGUUAGCACUUAAAGAGAAAAUCAUCUUCUUACAGUUGUUAGGAUUCUGACCUUUGGCUCUGUAAUUUAACAAGUGUUUAACAGAGAAAUGGAAAAGCAAAGGAAAUUCAGUGUCAGGGAACAUUAUUUUGAUAAUCCUGCAUCCCCGUUUGUUAAUUUAUCCCUGAGAACGAGUUUAUUUUGACCAUCAAACAUUCGAGGUAUCAGACAAUGUUUUUAAGGAAUUUCUUGAAAUAUAAAAUUUACAGUCAAUGGUUAGAAAUACAAAUGAAAUUCACUUUUAACACUGUAUCUCUUUAAAGGAUUGAAUUCUAAUAAAAACUCUAAGUCUAAUAACUUAAAGAUAAUGUCUGUGGAGAAUCCCAUUCUUUAUUUGUGAUUAGUAUGGGUGGAAUUGCUAGAUUUAAUAAGAAAAUACCAACAUGCACAAGCUCAC
Gambusia affinis (western mosquitofish) is the source of this 1055-nucleotide long non-coding RNA. RefSeq lists it as uncharacterized. The transcript is spliced from 7 exons. Lineage: Eukaryota; Metazoa; Chordata; Actinopteri; Cyprinodontiformes; Poeciliidae. The record is from RefSeq and is a predicted model, not a curated record.